This is a transfer RNA of 73 nucleotides. It matches the Rfam family "tRNA". From Rfam's summary of the family: Transfer RNA (tRNA) molecules are approximately 80 nucleotides in length. Their secondary structure includes four short double-helical elements and three loops (D, anti-codon, and T loops). The record is from Rfam.
GCUCUUUUAGUUUAAGUGGUUAUAACUUACUACUUCUAAUAAUAUGAUCAGCGUUCAAAUCGUUGAAGGAGCA